Crotalus tigris (Tiger rattlesnake) is the source of this 871-nucleotide long non-coding RNA. RefSeq lists it as uncharacterized. NCBI's taxonomy places the organism in Eukaryota, Metazoa, Chordata, Lepidosauria, Squamata, Viperidae. The transcript has 3 exons. The record is from RefSeq and is a predicted model, not a curated record.
UUUAGUAUUUACUGAACAAUUUAUAUGCUAUCCUUCUGAUGAUCCCAGUUUUCUGUGGAUAAAACUGGAAUCAGAGGAUUAAAUAAAGAUUAUUAUGAACAAAUGCAAAAAAUUCUGGGGUGAUUAUAGCAUGUCUUGUCAUAAUUAAGUCCUUCUGUUCCAGGUAGAGCUGCAACUGGCAUACAAGCCAUAGCUGAGUGAAGGUCCUCCUGGCCAUGGCUCCCAUCUGCAUAUCCAACAGUGGCUGUGACUUUAUAGAGGUGAACCUUUUCCUCCCAACUUUCUUGUGCUUUUUAGAACAAAAGAAGAAUAAAUUAAAAGGCUCUGAGCCAAACUAAAUUGACAACUCCUGUUUACAAAAAUCAAAGGACAGGAAAUAGGAAGAAAGCCAACAACUGAAGCCCAGACCAGGUAAUUUUUAAGAAGAUUUUUUAAGAUGGCUCCAAAGCGUCCAGUAAUUCCUACAGCUCCUAAGGUGGUCUCUUCUUCGGUGAUAUCAUCAGUGCAACAAUCUAAAUUAACAGCUUCACCCUCUUCUUUGGCACAGCUAUUAACGGUAAAGGAGUUGCAAGACAUAAUGGGAAAUGCUAUAUCCCAAAUCAGGGGAGAAGUGAAAGAGAUUUUAGCGGAAAAUAAUAGGAUUCUGAGGCAAGAUAUAGUUUUGGCUUUAAAAGAAGUUGCCUCUGUUCUUGAAAAGUUGAAUUUUCAUGUAGAAGAGGUGGUAGAGAAAGUGGAGCUGUUGGAGGGAAAUUUGAAGGUAUGGAAAAAGAGAUGGAAAAUUUUCAAGAUGAGAUUCUUAUGCUUCAAUAUAGAUAGAUGGAAUAUGCUUUAAGAAUCAGAGGCCUGAGGGAAUCUUUGCAAGGAGAUCUGA